RNAcentral lists this ribosomal RNA (1143 nucleotides) under uncultured methanogenic archaeon. RNAcentral describes it as "bacterial SSU rRNA". It matches the Rfam family "Archaeal small subunit ribosomal RNA", at positions 123 to 1271 of the family's 1478-position model. Lineage: Archaea; Methanobacteriati; Methanobacteriota. The record is from RNAcentral.
GGCAUAACCUCGGGAAACUGGGGAUAAUACCCCAUAGACUAUGGAUGCUGGAAUGCUUUGUAGUUGAAAGGUCCGCCGCUUCAGGAUGGGUCUGCGGCCGAUUAGGUUGUUGUUGGGGUAACGGCCCAACAAGCCUGUAAUCGGUACGGGUUGUGGGAGCAAGAGCCCGGAGAUGGAUUCUGAGACACGAAUCCAGGCCCUACGGGGCGCAGCAGGCGCGAAAACUUUACAAUGCGAGCAAUCGUGAUAAGGGAACUCCGAGUGCCUGUAAAAUCAGGCUGUCCGCCAGUGUAGAUAACUGGUGAAGAAAGGGCCGGGCAAGACCGGUGCCAGCCGCCGCGGUAAUACCGGCGACUCGAGUGGUGGCCACUAUUACUGGGCUUAAAGCGUUCGUAGCUGGUCUGUUAAGUCUCUGGGGAGAUCUUCCGGCUUAACCGGAAGGCGUCUCAGGGAUACUGGCAGACUAGGGACCGGAAGAGGUGAGAGGUACUCCAGGGGUAGGAGUGAAAUCCUGUAAUCCUUGGGGGACCACCUGUGGCGAAGGCGUCUCACCAGGACGGCUCCGACAGUGAGGAACGAAAGCUGGGGGAGCAAACCGGAUUAGAUACCCGGGUAGUCCCAGCUGUAAACGAUGCGCGUUAGGUGUAUCGGUGACCACGAGUCACCGAGGUGCCGAAGAGAAAUCGUGAAACGCGCCGCCUGGGAAGUACGGUCGCAAGGCUGAAACUUAAAGGAAUUGGCGGGGGAGCACCACAACGGGUGGAGCCUGCGGUUUAAUCGGACUCAACGCCGGGAAACUCACCGGACAAGACAGCUGAAUGAUAGUCGGGCUGAAGACUCUACUUGACUAGCUGAGAGGAGGUGCAUGGCCGUCGUCAGUUCGUACUGUGAAGCAUCCUGUUAAGUCAGGCAACGAGCGAGACCCACGCCAACAGUUGCUAGCUCGUCCUCCGGGAUGGAGAGGACACUGUUGGGACCGCCUCUGCUAAAGAGGAGGAAGGAAUGGGCAACGGUAGGUCAGCAUGCCCCGAAUUGCCCGGGCUACACGCGGGCUACAAUGGGUGGGACAAUGGGUAUCGACACCGAAAGGUGAAGGCAAUCUCCUAAACCCAUCCUUAGUUCGGAUCGUGGGCUGUAACUCGC